This is a small nucleolar RNA of Rhododendron vialii, 104 nucleotides long. RefSeq annotates it as small nucleolar RNA snoR100. NCBI's taxonomy places the organism in Eukaryota, Viridiplantae, Streptophyta, Magnoliopsida, Ericales, Ericaceae. The transcript has a single exon. The record is from RefSeq and is a predicted model, not a curated record.
CAAUGAAGGAAGCAUGAAUGUGCAUAAAUUGAAUUGGGUCUCUAGGCCUGCCCUCUUUGAUGUCAUUCGGCUUUGAUUUGGGAGCAUGGUUCCGCAGCAAAACA